This 253-nucleotide ribosomal RNA is filed under the name uncultured bacterium. RNAcentral describes it as "partial 16S ribosomal RNA". It matches the Rfam family "Bacterial small subunit ribosomal RNA", at positions 524 to 776 of the family's 1533-position model. The record is from RNAcentral.
GACAGAGGGGGCAAGCGUUGCUCGGAAUUACUGGGCGUAAAGGGCGUGCAGGCGGUCUGUUAAGUGCAGGGUGAAAGCUCCCGGCUCAACUGGGAGAGGUCCUUGCAUACUGGCGGACUUGAGGGGGGUAGAGGAAAGUGGAAUUCCCGGUGUAGUGGUGAUAUGCGUAGAUAUCGGGAGGAACACCUGUGGCGAAGGCGGCUUUCUGGGCCCUACCUGACGCUGAGACGCGAAAGCGUGGGGAGCGAACCGG